GCAGGCGCACGCACAACGCAAGCACGCUCGCGGCGGGCGCCUCUGGUGGUGGUUAGUUUUAUCUUGAAGUCUGCGAGGUUUGAGGCGUUUGCUGGGGAUCUCGAGCCUCGGGGUUCUCUAUGGUCUCAGGGUCUGAAGCGGCUUGUGCCGAGGCGUCGCUUUCCCUCUCGGCUCUCCUCCAAAAGCUCCUGAGCUCCGUAAUCUGCAUUAACUCCCAGCCUUUCGCGCUCCAUCUAGAGAUGAGCAAGCGAUCGCUAGAGAUAGAAAGUGAUUGCUCAUCCCGUUUUUGCUUCCAGCCCUCUUCCGGAAAGCUGCAUCCAAAAGCCGCAUUCUUACUCAUUUGUCCUUUCUAAUCCAAGUCUGGCGUGUUACAGCUCAGUGGCAGUGAAUGAAUAAGGCCACUGUUGAGUCUCCAGCACCAGUAAUUUCUGAGGCUCUAUAGAUUACUGGGAGUCUGUGUCAGAGAUCAUGAAGUCUGUUUAUGGAAACUUUGGAUAAACUGCAGCCAGGCGCAGGCCCAAACAGAAAAAGGCGUCCAAAUUCUUACUGGGCAUAGGUCAAAUGGUUAAUAAAAGACCCUUAGGAUUUUUUCACUUGGGUCACGGUGACUAUACUGUUCAAAGAAGCUUUAGGAUUGCCGUCUUCCUCCAAGUCCCCGCUUUCUGGUUGUAAUGGCUUUGUCUAUUGAGUGUUUAUUGCGAAGUAUGUAUUUUAUGUGGAUCAUCUCACAUGGUAUUCCCAACGUUCAAGAUGGAUCGAUUCCAGAAGAAAGGCUCAGGGAAAACUACCAGCAUUGGCAAAUGUGUGCUUCUUCAGUGCACAGCUGGAGAAGGAAAGGGAUGAUGUGGAGAAGCUGGACAGAAGGGAGCCGGGCCGCCCAUCACUCAAGUGCCAGCAUAAGCAAGCACCAAGGGAGUCACACAGAGAUGGCCAGAGGACACCUGCUGUGUGGCAUUUCCAUUGUGCUCUGACUAACAAAGCUGCCCAUGGAGGUUUGGAGAACUGAGGACAGAUAGCACACAGGAAGUGGUGAGGCGGGGCUGAGAGGGGAUCUGGGCCCUUUUGGAUGGGGGAACUGAAGAGGUAGGAAACGACUAUGGCUGCUCCCCUGCUUCUCUGAUCUUUCAGGUUUGUACCCCAAUUUCUGACUCCUGGGUUUUUUUUAUUGAUAAGAUUAAUUAGAUUUAUACUCAGACACUCA
Mesocricetus auratus (golden hamster) is the source of this 1201-nucleotide long non-coding RNA. RefSeq lists it as uncharacterized. The record is from RefSeq and is a predicted model, not a curated record. The transcript is spliced from 2 exons. NCBI's taxonomy places the organism in Eukaryota, Metazoa, Chordata, Mammalia, Rodentia, Cricetidae.